GAGUUUGAUCCUGGCUCAGAUUGAACGCUGGCGGCAGGCCUAACACAUGCAAGUCGAGCGGCAGCGGGAAAGUAGCUUGCUACUUUUGCCGGCGAGCGGCGGACGGGUGAGUAAUGCCUGGGGAUCUGCCCAGUCGAGGGGGAUAACUACUGGAAACGGUAGCUAAUACCGCAUACGCCCUACGGGGGAAAGCAGGGGACCUUCGGGCCUUGCGCGAUUGGAUGAACCCAGGUGGGAUUAGCUAGUUGGUGAGGUAAUGGCUCACCAAGGCGACGAUCCCUAGCUGGUCUGAGAGGAUGAUCAGCCACACUGGAACUGAGACACGGUCCAGACUCCUACGGGAGGCAGCAGUGGGGAAUAUUGCACAAUGGGGGAAACCCUGAUGCAGCCAUGCCGCGUGUGUGAAGAAGGCCUUCGGGUUGUAAAGCACUUUCAGCGAGGAGGAAAGGUUGGUAGCUAAUAACUGCCAGCUGUGACGUUACUCGCAGAAGAAGCACCGGCUAACUCCGUGCCAGCAGCCGCGGUAA
This 527-nucleotide ribosomal RNA is filed under the name uncultured bacterium. Its description in RNAcentral is "bacterial SSU rRNA". It matches the Rfam family "Bacterial small subunit ribosomal RNA", at positions 9 to 523 of the family's 1533-position model. The record is from RNAcentral.